CACACUUCAUCAGACCCAAAAUAUCCUAGACAUAUCUAAAAGAGAUAUGUUAGGGAAUAAACCAAAGUAUAAUUUCAUAUAUAUAAGGUACCAUGGUGAUCUCAGGUCAAAAGAUUACUUGCAUCACUCCUACUAGAGAACUAUCUAUCGACAUACUGUAAGGCUCCAUCAGAUGUUCUUUUUGUGGAUUAGUUCAGUAAAUUCAUUCUCUAAUGAGCAUCUAUAUUCUUAUAUUAGUGUCACCAC
This 246-nucleotide long non-coding RNA is filed under the name Elaeis guineensis (African oil palm). RNAcentral's name for it is "long non-coding RNA (EGUI_LNC027861)". Lineage: Eukaryota; Viridiplantae; Streptophyta; Magnoliopsida; Arecales; Arecaceae. The record is from RNAcentral.